CAUGGCUCAGGACGAACGCUGGCGGCGUGCUUAACACAUGCAAGUCGAACGAUGAAGCGGUGCUUGCACCGUGGAUUAGUGGCGAACGGGUGAGUAAUACGUGAGUGACCUACCUUUGACUCUGGGAUAAGCCUGGGAAACUGGGUCUAAUACCGGAUACGACCAAUCUCUGCAUGGGGUGUUGGUGGAAAGCGUUAUGGAGUGGUUUUAGAUGGGCUCACGGCCUAUCAGCUUGUUGGUGAGGUAAUGGCUUACCAAGGCGACGACGGGUAGCCGGCCUGAGAGGGUGACCGGCCACACUGGGACUGAGACACGGCCCAGACUCCUACGG
Molecule: ribosomal RNA, 331 nt
Filed under: uncultured bacterium
Lineage: Bacteria
Description: bacterial SSU rRNA
Rfam family: Bacterial small subunit ribosomal RNA
Source: RNAcentral